RNAcentral lists this ribosomal RNA (433 nucleotides) under uncultured bacterium. RNAcentral describes it as "partial 16S ribosomal RNA". It matches the Rfam family "Bacterial small subunit ribosomal RNA", at positions 29 to 507 of the family's 1533-position model. The record is from RNAcentral.
AACGAACGCUGGCGGCAUGCCUAACGCAUGCAAGUCGAACGAGACCUUCGGGUCUAGUGGCGCACGGGUGCGUACCGCGUGGGAACCUGCCCUUAGGUUCGGAAUAACUCCCCGAAAGGGGUGCUAAUACCGGAUAAUGUCUUCGGACCAAAGAUUUAUCGCCUUUGGAUGGGCCCGCGUUGGAUUCGCUAGUUGGUAGGGUAAAAGCCUACCAAGGCGAGGAUCCUUAGCUGGUCGGAGAGGAUGAUCAGCCACACUGGGACUGAGACACGGCCCAGACUCCUACGGGAGGCAGCAGUAGGGAAUAUUGGACAAGGGGCGAAAGCGUGAUCAAGCAAUGCCGCGUGAGUGAUGAAGGCCUUAGGGUUGUAAAGCUCUUUUAGCCGGGAUGAUAAUGACGGUACCGGGAGAAUAAGCACCGGCUAACUCCGUG